Molecule: long non-coding RNA, 1796 nt
Organism: Micropterus salmoides (largemouth bass)
Lineage: Eukaryota; Metazoa; Chordata; Actinopteri; Centrarchiformes; Centrarchidae
Exons: 5
Source: RefSeq, a predicted model, not a curated record
CCUGUUGUCCAGACCUUGUCGGCUGAAGAGCCUGUUGUGUUAAAGUUCACCGCAGAUAAGGCAUUGGUGGUUGAUAACCCUGAGAUACAAAUAUGCUAUCUAGUAGAGCUAUGCAAGUUUAGUAGUUUGUGUGCCUUUGAUAACAUGAUUUACAUUGCAGUAGGCCUAAACGUCUGAUCCGUAAAUGAGGUGGUGUCAAAGCUGGGCUGACUAUUUACUGCAUUGUUUGAGAUUUGUUAUAGGUGAAUGGGCCCCUGUGAAUGUUUUUGCCAACUGCUAAGGUCUGCUGAGGGUGUGGCCGUUUUCUCUGUUUUGGCUGUGUGAGUUCCCUCAGCUUGUUGGCCAUUAUUUCCCCUUCUUUUAAGUGUUGUGCCAGACAGACAGGGUGGAGGAUUUUGAGAACCCCUUUCCCCUUCACUGCAUGUGGUGGUGUGUAUGACAGCUGUGUGCGCAUGCUUAACUUAGUUUUAUUGUGUGGUGUUUGAUGUGUGUAUUCUGCUGUGUUUAGGUGGCUGCGCACUGGUGUGAGUAGCGGUGUCAAGGUGGCCCACAGCUCAAUUCAUAGCCACAUAAUAUUUCACUUUGAUGCAGCAAAAUGUUAGGUUAAAGAACAAGUUAGUUAAAAAAAAAAUUGCAGGAUGACCCUACAUUUUCUUUUCUUGUCAAUGCAGUGGUAAAAACUAUAUUCUUUUUGUCAGCCAUCCUGCUUAAAACAAGUAAUUGAUUCAUUAUGUUUUUCUGUUGAGGCCCAAGUUGGAAACCAUUAAUCUGCAUACAUUUAUGUGUUUACAAAUGUUGAACCUAUGCAACCAAUUCUACUGGAGCUUGAGAGAUACACACCACAACUGAUUGCCCUGUACAGGCAGAAGGCCAAGAGAGCAGACGCCCUGCAGAGAUCCUCCGGAUUUAUGACCUUCAAUCUAGGAACAAUAUGAGGUACACAUGGGAUGCCACCCGACCCUCCGUGGCCUCCAAGUGAACCUGCUAGCAGAUGACUGACGUCUUCAAAACCUGCAAUCAACUGACAGGUUUAAAGAGAUGAAAGAAUACAUAAGGAUACAUCCCUGGUCCUGGGACCCAGAACCAGGGAGCAGACCUGCUGUCGAGACGGGGGCUGAGGCCCGGGGAAUGGAGACUCCACCCCCAGGUGUUGGAGUUAUUAUGCGACAGUGCAAAGGUGAACCAGACACUGUUGACACUCCUCACUGUGUACACUGACCUGGUGCAGUCCGCUUCAGCCGAAGUGAAAGGUGGCUGUGGAUAGAUUUGUCGAUUUCUCUGAGGGUGGUGAUGGUACAGUGGAUAAGACGCAUGCCUUUUGUGUGAGAGACCCGGGUUUAAUUCCCCAUUGUGACACAUCCACCAAUGUGUCUCUGAGCAGAACACUUUAGCCCUAGUUCCUUCAGGGGCGUGCGACCUCUUACACAUAUAGUUAUUGUAAGUAUGUUUGACUAAAAGCAUCAGUUAAAUGUUAAUGUAACUUAUGUACAAACUCCUGAAAGCACUUCUGAACUGGCCGUUCAGGCCAGCUGUGAAGAGGUCCACAAGAUGAGGGAGGCACUCACUCACUCACUCACUCACUCACUCACUCACUCACUGGGUGACAUCACUUAUUAUUCUCUAUACUAAUUAUUUGUAAAUGUACCUGCUUUGCGCCUGCCUCGACUUCUCCCUGUACUCAAUCACACACACACCUUUACCUCUGGUCUCUCAUUGAAAAUACACAGUCUUUCCCCGCCUCUCUGUCUGCUCCCCUGAGUUUAUCCAUCAGCAGUAGGAUAUGUUUUAUAAAGUCA